This 466-nucleotide ribosomal RNA is filed under the name uncultured bacterium. RNAcentral describes it as "partial 16S ribosomal RNA". It matches the Rfam family "Bacterial small subunit ribosomal RNA", at positions 28 to 507 of the family's 1533-position model. The record is from RNAcentral.
GACGAACGCUGGCGGCGUGCUUAACACAUGCAAGUCGAACGGAAAGGCCCGGCUUUUGUGGGGUGCUCGAGUGGCGAAGGGGUGAGUAACACGUGAGUAAGCGGCAAUUGACGUUGGGGGAACUUCAGGAAACUGGGGCUAAGACCGGAUAGGAGCUCCGGCUGAAGGGGGGGGGGUGGAAAGUUUUGGAGGUUGGGGAUGGACUCGCGGCUUAUCAGCUUGUUGGUGGGGGAGUGGCUUACCAAGGCUUUGACGGGUAGCCGGCCUGAGAGGGUGACCGGCCACAUUGGGACUGAGAUACGGCCCGGACUCCUACGGGAGGCAGCAGUGGGGAAUUUUCCGCAAUGGGCGAAAGCCUGACGGAGCAAUACCGCGUGAGGGAAGAAGGCUCUUGGGUUGUAAACCUCUUUUCUUAGGGAAGAACAAAAUGACGGUACCUAAGGAAUCAGCAUCGGCUAACUCCGUG